Molecule: ribosomal RNA, 551 nt
Filed under: uncultured bacterium
Lineage: Bacteria
Description: bacterial SSU rRNA
Rfam family: Bacterial small subunit ribosomal RNA
Source: RNAcentral
AGGGUUUGAUUAUGGCUCAGAACGAACGCUGGCGGCGUGCUUAACACAUGCAAGUCGAGUGCGCGCCUGUAGCAAUACAGGUGGCGCACGGCGCACGGGUGCGUAACACGUGGGUAAUCUGCCCUCUGAUGGGGAAUAACCCGCCGAAAGGCGGGCUAAUACCGCAUAACAUUCCUUGGAUUUCGGUCCGGGGACUCAAAGGCGUAAGUCGUCGGAGGAGGAGCCCGCGCACGAUUAGCUAGUUGGUAGGGUAAUGGCCUACCAAGGCUUUGAUCGUUAGCUGGUCUGAGAGGAUGGCCAGCCACACUGGAACUGAGACACGGUCCAGACUCCUACGGGAGGCAGCAGUGGGGAAUCUUGCACAAUGGGCGAAAGCCUGAUGCAGCGACGCCGCGUGGGGGAUGAAGCAUUUCGGUGUGUAAACCCCUUUCGAUCCGGACGAAUACCUCGCAAGAGGGGUGACGGUACGGAUAUAAGAAGCCCCGGCUAACUACGUGCCAGCAGCCGCGGUAAGACGUAGGGGGCCAGCGUUGUUCGGAAUUACUGGGUGU